Molecule: unclassified non-coding RNA, 201 nt
Filed under: plant metagenome
Description: partial contains small subunit ribosomal RNA, internal transcribed spacer 1, and 5.8S ribosomal RNA
Source: RNAcentral
UCUCCGUUGGUGAACCAGCGGAGGGAUCAUUAUCGAGUUUAUAACUCCAAAACCCCAUGUGAACUUACCACUUGUUGCUUCGGCGCGCGCUUCGGUGCCGCCGAGGACACUUAAACUCUUUGUUUUUAUAAGCAUUUCUGAGUGGCCGAAAGGCAAAAUACAAAUGAAUCAAAACUUUCAACAACGGAUCUCUUGGUUCUG